UCCGGCCACAACAACUUCGAAUUCUUCAACCUUCAAUCGACGUGACAGCCUUGCUCUCCGACCACCUUUCAAUCCUCGGUGACUUCAACCUCCUACGACAAAUAGUUGGACUUCGAGUUUCUUUUCAACUUUAACCUUCAAUCGACGUGACAACCUUGCUCUCCGAACACAACAGCUUCGAAUUCUUCAACCUUCAAUCGACGUGACAGCCUUGCUCUCCGG
RNAcentral lists this long non-coding RNA (222 nucleotides) under Capsicum annuum. RNAcentral's name for it is "long non-coding RNA (CANN_LNC014821)". The record is from RNAcentral. Lineage: Eukaryota; Viridiplantae; Streptophyta; Magnoliopsida; Solanales; Solanaceae.